Molecule: transfer RNA, 72 nt
Organism: Allomyces macrogynus ATCC 38327
Lineage: Eukaryota; Fungi; Blastocladiomycota; Blastocladiomycetes; Blastocladiales; Blastocladiaceae
Rfam family: tRNA
About the family: Transfer RNA (tRNA) molecules are approximately 80 nucleotides in length. Their secondary structure includes four short double-helical elements and three loops (D, anti-codon, and T loops).
Source: Rfam
GGGGGUUUAGCUCAGUGGUAGAGCGUCCGCUUUGCAUGCGGAAAGCCGCGGGUUCAAACCCCGCAACCUCCA